AAUCCAGACUCCUACGGGAGGCAGCAGUGGGGAAUAUUGGGCAAUGGGCGCAAGCCUGACCCAGCAACGCCGCGUGAAGGAAGAAGGCUUUCGGGUUGUAAACUUCUUUUCUCAGGGACGAAGCAAGUGACGGUACCUGAGGAAUAAGCCACGGCUAACUACGUGCCAGCAGCCGCGGUAAUACGUAGGUGGCAAGCGUUAUCCGGAUUUACUGGGUGUAAAGGGCGUGUAGGCGGGAAAGCAAGUCAGAUGUGAAAACCAUGGGCUCAACCUGUGGCCUGCAUUGGAAACUGGCGGGCUGGAGUGCCGGAGAGGUAAGCGGAAUUCCUAGUGUAGCGGUGAAAUGCGUAGAUAUUAGGAGGAACACCAGUGGCGAAGGCGGCUUACUGGACAGUAACUGACGUUGAGGCUCGAAAGCGUGGGGAGCAAACAGGAUUAGAUACCCUUGUAC
Molecule: ribosomal RNA, 451 nt
Filed under: uncultured bacterium
Lineage: Bacteria
Description: partial 16S ribosomal RNA
Rfam family: Bacterial small subunit ribosomal RNA
Source: RNAcentral